This 377-nucleotide ribosomal RNA is filed under the name uncultured bacterium. Its description in RNAcentral is "bacterial SSU rRNA". It matches the Rfam family "Bacterial small subunit ribosomal RNA", at positions 523 to 898 of the family's 1533-position model. The record is from RNAcentral.
AUACAGAGGGUGCAAGCGUUGUUCGGAAUUAUUGGGCGUAAAGCGCGCGCAGGCGGGAUUGCAAGUCGGAUGUGAAAGCCCUCGGCUCAACCGAGGAAGUGCGUUCGAAACUGCAGUUCUUGAGUGUCGGAGAGGGUGGCGGAAUUCCUGGUGUAGAGGUGAAAUUCGUAGAUAUCAGGAGGAACACCAGAGGCGAAGGCGGCCACCUGGACGAACACUGACGCUGAGGCGCGAAAGCGUGGGGAGCAAACAGGAUUAGAUACCCUGGUAGUCCACGCCGUAAACGAUGAGAGCUAGCUGUUGCGGGUGUUGACCCCUGCAGUGGCGCAGCUAACGCAUUAAGCUCUCCGCCUGGGAAGUACGGCCGCAAGGCUAAA